CAGAUUAUCCACAUGAUCAUGAGGGAGGCGAGUCUCUAAUUGUCCGGCAACUUCUCCAGCAGAUGAAAGAGACAAUCCGGCUCUGCGUAGCGCAAGUCGUCUAGUGUUGGUAACUCCCAGGACUCCCGCGCAUACACUAUGCUUCUUAAUUUUCCAGGCCUCAAUUAAAGAAGUUGUGUCAUUCAAUUCUUUUAGUACACUAUUGUUCAUAAUUUUAAG
RNAcentral lists this long non-coding RNA (219 nucleotides) under Hordeum vulgare. RNAcentral's name for it is "long non-coding RNA (HVUL_LNC000317)". Lineage: Eukaryota; Viridiplantae; Streptophyta; Magnoliopsida; Poales; Poaceae. The record is from RNAcentral.